This 320-nucleotide ribosomal RNA is filed under the name uncultured eukaryote. RNAcentral describes it as "partial 18S ribosomal RNA". It matches the Rfam family "Eukaryotic small subunit ribosomal RNA", at positions 1470 to 1796 of the family's 1831-position model. The record is from RNAcentral.
CCCCUAGAUGUUCUGGGCCGCACGCGCGCUACACUGAACAGUUCAACAAGUCUUAACCUUGGCCGAUAGGUCUGGGUAAUCUUUGAACGCUGUUCGUGAUUGGGAUAGACCUUUGCAAUUAUGGGUCUUCAACGAGGAAUUCCUAGUAAACGCAAGUCAUCAGCUUGCCUUGAUUACGUCCCUGCCCUUUGUACACACCGCCCGUCGCACCUACCGAUUGAAUGGUCCGGUGAAAUCUCGGGACGGCGGCUUGGUCGCUUGCGUCCGACUGCUGAAACUUGAUUAAACCAUAUCAUUUAGAGGAAGGUGAANUCGUAACA